AGGGGUGUCGCCAAAUGGUAAGGCACGGGACUUUGACUCCCGCAUCGCUGGUUCGAUUCCAGCCACCCCUGCCA
RNAcentral lists this transfer RNA (74 nucleotides) under Clostridiaceae bacterium. RNAcentral describes it as "tRNA-Gln". It matches the Rfam family "tRNA". From Rfam's summary of the family: Transfer RNA (tRNA) molecules are approximately 80 nucleotides in length. Their secondary structure includes four short double-helical elements and three loops (D, anti-codon, and T loops). The record is from RNAcentral. Lineage: Bacteria; Bacillati; Bacillota; Clostridia; Eubacteriales; Clostridiaceae.